RNAcentral lists this long non-coding RNA (378 nucleotides) under Homo sapiens (human). RNAcentral's name for it is "HSALNT0156310". The record is from RNAcentral. Lineage: Eukaryota; Metazoa; Chordata; Mammalia; Primates; Hominidae.
GUUUUAACACUCAGAUGCUUAUGGUCACAGGAAAAGCAAUUUUUAAAAAUCCAAACCUACAUUUUGAGAUAACUAUAGAUUUACAGGAAGUUGCAAGGAAAGUACUGAGAGGUUGCAUGCACCCUUCACAUGGGUUCCCCAAAUAGUGAUAAAAAUCAACUUUUUAGGCCGAGGUGGGAUGACUUUAGCCCAGGAGUUUGAGACCAGCCUGGACAACAUGGUAAGACCCUUUCUCUACUAAAAGUACAAAAAUUAGGUACAUGCGCCUAUAGUCUCAGCUACUCAGGAGGCUGAGGUGGGAGAACGGCUUAAAUCCAGGAGGCGGAGGCUGCAGUGAGCUGUGAUUGUGCCACUGCACUCCCGCCAGGGGAAAACAAC